CCCAAUUCUAACAGCAUAAGAGAGGUAGUGACAAGAAAUAACAGUACAAGGCAGUUAAAAUGCUUUGUAAUUGGAAUGAUAGAAAUUUAAACACUUUUUAAAGUAUCAAUUGGAGGGCAAGUCUGGUGCCAGCAGCCGCGGUAAUUCCAGCUCCAAUAGCGUAUAUUAAAAUUGUUGCAGUUAAAAAGCUCGUAGUUGAAUUUCUGCUAAAAAUAACCGGUCUGCUUUUA
This 230-nucleotide ribosomal RNA is filed under the name Eucoccidiorida sp. Its description in RNAcentral is "partial small subunit ribosomal RNA". It matches the Rfam family "Eukaryotic small subunit ribosomal RNA", at positions 444 to 668 of the family's 1831-position model. Lineage: Eukaryota; Apicomplexa; Conoidasida; Eucoccidiorida. The record is from RNAcentral.